RNAcentral lists this long non-coding RNA (475 nucleotides) under Olea europaea subsp. europaea. Lineage: Eukaryota; Viridiplantae; Streptophyta; Magnoliopsida; Lamiales; Oleaceae. The record is from RNAcentral.
UCGAAUCAAAUCACGUUUAUAUUUUUAGGUCAUUUAUUCCCAGUUUCAUUCUUGUAAACUUGUAUUCUCGGAGGCCACUUGCCGCGUUAGCUAAAUAUUCCAUAUUCAUAAACUUUGAUGAGAAUAAGUUGGGAAAAUCCACAAGAAGUUGCAUCUAGAGACAACAAUCUGAGAGAGAGUACACACAAAUCUUCCAUCUAGGCUAAGGUAGUAAUUGAAAAAAUAACACCACCUGUUUAAUCACACACUACUCCAUUCAAUAAAGGAAGAUGGGUAGGCAGACUAUUAAACCAUAACAAAGACACGCGAUGAAAAACAAGUAUUCUGGGGGUGUGUUGCAUCAUCAUCAUCCUCCCUCCCCCAAACUGACAUUCGGAUGAUUCACUGCAACGAAAAGAUUGAACCCACAAAUUAUUUUAUUUUAUUUCAAGUCGUGUAAUAAGUUCAUAUAAAUUAUAGGAAACGAAAGCAGCCU